Molecule: non-coding RNA, 79 nt
Filed under: Candidatus Vecturithrix granuli
Lineage: Bacteria; Candidatus Moduliflexota; Candidatus Vecturitrichia; Candidatus Vecturitrichales; Candidatus Vecturitrichaceae
Description: Bacterium UASB270 c-di-GMP sequence
Rfam family: c-di-GMP-I-GGC riboswitch aptamer
Source: Rfam by way of RNAcentral
CGUGAAAAGGCCAAACCCGUUGUGAGGCGGGGACGGAAAGCCACGGGUCUUCAAUAAGAAGAUAGCCGGGUUGCCACCA